UCCUUUCUGAGCUCUCUCCUUCUCAGCCGCCGAAACCACUUUGACAAAGGCUCUGUGUGCGCCAUUGCGAAACCUACCUCUCUCUCAUCCUCUCUGACAAAGGCUCUGUCCUGCCCAAUCCUCUCUGCGCAAAACCUCCUCUCAGGAAAACCUCUCUGUCAUCCAGCGCCUCUGUCAGCCUCCGUUUCUCUCUGAGCCGCCACCUCUCUCAGUCGCCGCCAUCACAGAUUCAGCACAGCAGUUCGCAGCCACCUCUUCAUUUUAUUUACCUCUCUUUCUCUCUGUCAGGAGACUUCAAGUGGCACUGUCCCAAUAGCACGCACCAUUCAUUAAUUUAGGUUUGAUUAGCAGCAGUUCGUGAAGAUCAGCAGGAAAUUUCUGGACAAGUUUGCAGCUUCCAGCAGCAUUUCUGCCACCCUCUGAGGUAUUCCGGCAGCAGUUCUGCCACUUUCUAUAGAUUUUUUAAUUGUUUUUUGUGGAUAAAUUUCCUCUGUUUGUAAUUGUUUUCAUCUGCCAAAUUCAUGUUAUAAAGAAGAGUUCUUGUUUGUAUACACUUCUGGUCAGAUUUCAGGGUCUUCAUUUGCUAAUAUUUGCCUUGUGUUGUGAAUAGAUUAAUCUGUAGAGAAUUAUGAAUUUGGGUUCUGCCACUUGAGGAUGUAUAUAUACAGCUUUUAACUCUUAAACUGUUUUGUUCUUAUAAUUUAGAAGAAUACAAGUUGAAGAGAAUAUUGACAACAA
Prunus dulcis (almond) is the source of this 738-nucleotide long non-coding RNA. RefSeq lists it as uncharacterized. The transcript is spliced from 3 exons. NCBI's taxonomy places the organism in Eukaryota, Viridiplantae, Streptophyta, Magnoliopsida, Rosales, Rosaceae. The record is from RefSeq and is a predicted model, not a curated record.